Molecule: long non-coding RNA, 4300 nt
Filed under: Sorghum bicolor (sorghum)
Lineage: Eukaryota; Viridiplantae; Streptophyta; Magnoliopsida; Poales; Poaceae
Description: long non-coding RNA (SBIC_LNC007741)
Source: RNAcentral
UCCCUGGGCAGAUCUCCCACUUGAACGGGAUCGAGCCUGGCCUCCUGCACGAGUCGUCGAUCGCUGCUGCCAUUGUUGCUGGUGCUUCUUUGAUCUUCUCUCCUCUAACACAUCUGAAUUCUGAUCAAUGAUCGUGCCUGCUUUACUACAUGUAAGUAUAUAAGUAUAUAUAUAUAUAUAUAGAGAGAGAGAGAGAGAGAGGAGGGUGGUGGUCUGGUGGAGUGUGCUGAGCUAUGAUUCAGGAGUGAUUGGAGGGGGUGGCCGGAUUGGAUCGGAUAUCGGAGACACUGGUAGUGGUGGAUUAUCUUAACUUUGUUAGGGUAUGUUUGGUUACGGACAAUAAAGUUUAUCAUCCAUUAUUUUAAAUGUUUGGACAUGUAAAGUAAUAAAUAUAGAUUAUUUAUGAAAAUUACAAUAUGGUUAGAAAGUAAUUUGUAAGAUAAAUCUUUUUCGACUAAUUAAUUUAUGAUUGAAUACUAAUUAAUUACCAGAUAAAAUAAAAAUACUACAGUACGUGUUUAACAACCCUAACUAGACACCCGCUUAGUGCGGUGGUCAGCUUGGCGUGGCAUGGAGAUUGGGGGCGAGGGACUGGAUGGAUUGAUCGGCUUACCGGCCGGCCGGCCGGCAGUUUGGCACUGAGCGGCACGCCACUAAGUGGCGAGCUAACUGAAUUUCUUCGUGGGGCUCCAUGUUCUGAACGUUGACUUCGUGCAUGCCCCGAUACCGGACAUUCAGACAGGUUGAUUUUUUUUCUUUGCUAAAAGAAAGGGACAAGUUGAAUUUUUUUUGUGGGGGAUUAUUACAUAAUUUAUACAUUUUAGGCGGAUGGACACGUUGAGUUAGGCGGGGAUUGGGGUGGCGGCGUCGUGACGGGGGUUGACAAAGAUGAACCGAUGCAAAGCCGGCACGUCCCGCUGGUCAUUGGUUCACACUUGUAGUAGCACUAGCAGGUCGGCCUCGCAUAGUGCGAUGCGAAUUAGGCAUUCAAAAACCCAAAAUUUUUCAAGAUUUCCCAUCACAUCGAAUCUUUACACAUACAUGGAGUAUUAAAUAUAGACAAAAAUAAAAACUAAUUGCACAGUUUAGUCGAAAUUUUGAGCCUAGUUAGUCAAUGGUUGGACAAUAAUUACCACAAACAAAUGAAAGUGCUACAGUGUCACAAAAAAUUUUACUGCAGGAACUAAACAAGGCCUUAAUGGGAUGUUCUUACAUCAGAUGUCUUGCUCCAUCGUCGCUGAUUACUGCUCCCUUUGUCUAAAAAAACAUACUAGGAUGGCCUUGUUUAUUUCAAGAAAAGAAAAUUUUUAGAUAUAACAUAUAGACUAAUAAAAAAAUAAAUUACAUAGCUUGGUUGGAAACUAUGAGAUAAAUUUUUUAAGCCUAAUAAAUCCGUCAUUAGCGCAUGUUUGUUAUUGUAGCAAUUAUGGCUAAUUAUGGACUAAUUAAGCUUAAAAGAUUCGUCUCGCGAUUUACAACCAAACUAUGCAAUUUGUUUUUUCGUCUAUAUUUAAUGCUUCAUACAUGUGUCAAAAAAUUUGAUGAGAUGUAUAAAAAGUUUUUUGGUGGAAAACUAAACAAAGCCUUAGUGUCUGUUUCGAUAUGAGGAUUAAUCAUUUGCUAGCUAAAACUAACCUAAAUUAGCUCUAUUUUGUGUUUAGAUAGGAGGGCUAAUCUUUAGACAAGUCUUUUAGCUGGUUGUUAGCCAAGUUUCAAAAAAAAACUAGUUGUUAGCCAACUAGCUAGUCGACCCUGGCUAAUUUAAGCUAAUUUUUAGCCCAACUAGUAACCAGCUUAGCUCAUCCAAAUAGACACUGGUUUUGUCUUUUAAGUCAAACUAUCUAAAGUUUGACCAACCUUGUACACUAUAAUACUAAUUAAGAUUGUUAGAUUCAUAAUGUGUAUACCUAUUUGGUGCAAUAAAUUUUAGCAAAUUUCUCUAUAGAUUUGGUCGGACUUAAAAUAGGUGGUUGCUAUGGUGCCAAGUGUACAAUUAACAAACCAAAGGGACCAUUUUGUGUGGGGGCUACAUCAGAAUGGAUGCUUUUCAGUAAAAUCCAUGUACAGAGCCUUGUUAGGAUGUGAAGCGAUACCGUACAAUGGCCAUGUUUGGAUCCAUGGGUUAGAGUUAGAUUUAGCUAUUUGGGACUCAAAUAGCCCUAAAGUAUUCAAACAUGAGGGUUAGAUUGGGGUUAUUUACAUCUAACCCACCCCAAAAAACUAUCCCCCCAAAGAGGUGCUUAUUUAGGCUAUUUGGGGCGAUUUGAGGCGGGACCCACAGGGAAAGGGAUCGGCUGUGUCACACGGGAUCCCUACUCGCGAUGCCUCCCAGCCACAACCCUGCCCGGUCACCAGCACUGUCGUCUCCCAGCUCGCCUCUCCGCUGCCUCUCAACCGUGCCGCCACCUCCAAGUUGCGUCGCCCGCCUCCCAACCGUGUCGCCGCCUCCCAACAAUGGCAAAACAGCCCACAAGGUACCAUAUGGAGCAAUGGCAAAAUAGCCCGCCGCUAGCAAUGGCAAAACGACAUGCAAGAUACUAUGUGGAGCAAUGUCAUUUGUGAGCGGGAGGAGGCCACACAACAGCCGCCCACACCAAAUCUAGCUAGGAAGGAGCUAAAUGAAUGGAAAAGUACAUUUAUUGUCAAUCUAACUCUUACAUCCAAACACCUCUUUGGUUAGAGUUAGUUGAGGGCUAGUCAUGAGCUAGAGAAUAACUCUAACCUCUAACUUAGUUAGAGUAUCCAAAUAGGGCCAAUAAUUUAAUAUAAAAAUUAAAACUAUCUCUUAAAAUCAAAGUUUAUUGUGGCAUUUGUAUAAAGGAGUAAUUUUAACAAAAGAUAAUCUAGCAAUACGACAUUGGCAAUGAGACAACAAGCUAGCGUAGUUUUUGUUCGUUUGAAGAGACUAUACAACAUCUUCUCUUUGAUUGUCAUUUUGCUAAAUUCGUAUAGCGGAUUAUUCAUAUCUCUCUUAACUUAACUCCUCCAACUAGUGUAUAUAAUAUGUUUAUAGAUUGGUUAUUUGGGUUCAAUGGGAAGUUGAAAUCCAAAAUUCUUGUGGGAGCGGUUGCUUUCUGCUAGGUAAUUUGGUUAACCCGGAAUGACUUAGUUUUUGAUAAGCUCCAAAUUUGCAUGUUAUCUUCACGAGGACCUACUGGAUCAGGUUCUGGUCCUCAUUUAGAAGGAGAGGAUCGCCAAAUAAUGUUGAUGAGGUGCAGAAAAAUUGAGACAACCGGUAUGGAGGUAUUUGCAAGGAAUGGAUGGAGAUUUAUUAAUAGAAUCAUAGUUUAGAUGUUGCUUCGGUUGCUCUUUGCUACUUCCUUUUUGUUUCAAAGCUUUGUUUUUAAGAUUGCGUGGACCUUUGUACGGCUUGUUUGUUAAGGAACAACUAUAUGCAUCGUUGAUGCAGAAGCUGAGAUAUUAAUAUAUUCUCUUUUCUAAAAACUUAAAACUGUUUAACUUAGGAUAAAACUAAAAUAUCAAGUUUUUUGAAUGGAGAGAGAGUAAAAAAUACCUCAUUCGUUGCUGCAGGGAUUAGAAAAAAAUUAAAAAGGACAUGUUUUCAGCAAUUUUAAACCGCAUUGCCUAAAUCAGCUGGGGGCUAUGCAUACGGAUGCUGCCGCACUUGUCAUCAACUAUCCAGGUGAGGAGGAAAACAAUUACAUGUUGCAAUCCACACAUGACACAUCAGACUGUGGGAGGAGGUAUUUCGUGUGAAGCUAAAACUGUGCUGCAUAGUAUUUGAAGGAGCAUUGACAUUCAUAUGGCGUGUGCUAAAUUUUUUUUGUACAACUGUGCAUCAGUAUCACUAAUCCAUUUUUUUCUUUUGCAUCAAAACAACUUGCCUGUGCAUCAAUAUCAUCAAUCCGUUUUUUUUUGGCGAGGUUGUGUGCCAACUGAUGGACGCGGCGCAUCCCGAUGCCAUGCUGAUGCAUAGGUUAACUUCGAUGCCAAGACGGCAGGGUCCUGCAGGAUGUGUUUCAACAAGCUCAAGAGUCAAGAUCACUAAGGUCUACCCUUGUGUUGAAAUCGAUUCAACGAGUUUGCUUCGUGCUCUGAAUGUUCAGUGCUAAUGAGAGUUGAUUCUAGUUGUAUGAUGUGACAUGUGCACAUGUCAUGCAGUAGUGUUAAAGCCUUGUAGGAUCGAUUCCUUUGCUAAUACAAAGAGUUUGAUGAUGCCAUAUUUGUGCUCUAAUUUUUGAAUGCUGUGUUGUUUGGUACCUAUAGAAGAAAAUUGCUAUUCUAGGACUCCCAAACAUGUGACUUUGCUAAAAUAGGAUUCCUAACAUUGACAUCGCUA